This 465-nucleotide ribosomal RNA is filed under the name uncultured bacterium. Its description in RNAcentral is "bacterial SSU rRNA". It matches the Rfam family "Bacterial small subunit ribosomal RNA", at positions 29 to 535 of the family's 1533-position model. The record is from RNAcentral.
AACGAACGCUGGCGGCAGGCUUAACACAUGCAAGUCGAGCGCCCCGCAAGGGGAGCGGCAGACGGGUGAGUAACGCGUGGGAAUCUACCGAGCCCUAAGGAAUAGCUCCGGGAAACUGGAAUUAAUACCUUAUACGCCCUUUGGGGAAAGAUUUAUCGGGGUUUGAUGAGCCCGCGUUGGAUUAGCUAGUUGGUGGGGUAAAAGGCCUACCAAGGCGACGAUCCAUAGCUGGUCUGAGAGGAUGAUCAGCCACAUUGGGGACUGAGACACGGCCCAAACUCCUACGGGAGGCAGCAGUGGGGAAUAUUGGACAAUGGGCGCAAGCCUGAUCCAGCCAUGCCGCGUGAGUGAUGAAAGGCCCCUAGGGUUGUAAAAGCUCUUUCACCGGUGAAGAUAAUGACGGUAACCGGAGAAGAAGCCCCCUGGCUAANUUCGUUGCCAGCAGCCGCGUAAUACGAAGGGGUC